GAUUACUUGUCGGAGUGCCAUUUGGCUGAGAUCGCAUAAUUGAAUGCGGGAUCCGCAGAACCUGAUCGGGUUGAUACCCGCGUAGGAAACAAGAAAGUCAUACUU
RNAcentral lists this non-coding RNA (105 nucleotides) under Marinomonas posidonica. RNAcentral describes it as "TPP sequence". It matches the Rfam family "TPP riboswitch aptamer (THI element)". Rfam says of the family: Vitamin B(1) in its active form thiamin pyrophosphate (TPP) is an essential coenzyme that is synthesised by coupling of pyrimidine and thiazole moieties in bacteria. The previously detected thiamin-regulatory element, thi box was extended, resulting in a new, highly conserved RNA secondary structure, the THI element, which is widely distributed in eubacteria and also occurs in some archaea. Analysis of operon structures identified a large number of new candidate thiamin-regulated genes, mostly transporters, in various prokaryotic organisms. Lineage: Bacteria; Pseudomonadati; Pseudomonadota; Gammaproteobacteria; Oceanospirillales; Oceanospirillaceae. The record is from RNAcentral.